This 445-nucleotide ribosomal RNA is filed under the name uncultured bacterium. Its description in RNAcentral is "bacterial SSU rRNA". It matches the Rfam family "Bacterial small subunit ribosomal RNA", at positions 354 to 796 of the family's 1533-position model. The record is from RNAcentral.
GUGAGGAAUAUUGCGCAAUGGAGGCAACUCUGACGCAGCCAUGCCGCGUGCAGGAAGAAGGCGCUACGCGUUGUAAACUGCUUUUAACCGGGAAGAAACCCCAGGACGUGUCCUGGGUUGACGGUACCGGAGGAAUAAGCACCGGCUAACUUCGUGCCAGCAGCCGCGGUAAUACGAAGGGUGCAAGCGUUAUCCGGAUUCAUUGGGUUUAAAGGGUGCGUAGGCGGAGCGUUACGGCAGUGGUGAAAUCCUGCAGCUUAACUGUAGACUUGCCAUUGAUACUGGCGCUCUUGAGUGCGCUUGAAGUGGGCGGAAUGUGCCGUGUAGCGGUGAAAUGCUUAGAUAUGGCACAGAACACCAAUUGCGAAGGCAGCUCACUAAGGCGAUACUGACGCUGAGGCACGAAAGCGUGGGGAUCGAACAGGAUUAGAAACCCCAGUAGUCC